GCUUUGAUGGCCUAGUGGUUAAGGCGUUGGACUCGAAAUCCAUUGGCGUUUCGCCGCGCAGGUUCAAACCCUGCUCACAGCG
Molecule: non-coding RNA, 82 nt
Organism: Trematomus bernacchii (emerald rockcod)
Lineage: Eukaryota; Metazoa; Chordata; Actinopteri; Perciformes; Nototheniidae
Source: the annotation of a RefSeq genome assembly